AGGACAAACAAAAUGCUGCACAGGCCCAAAUAAAGACAACUAUAGACACAUAGCAGAGGUUUCCUGCUUCAAGUAGCUAUUAUAUUAACCUACACUUUAGGCAAAGAGCAUUUUAGGUUUCACACUGAUGAAAACAUAGGAUGAGCAGAAGCAUCAGUAAAAGUUGCAUCUUUAAUGAAAGAGAUGAAACAGGCCAGCAAAGUCCACAGGUGUAAAACAUCCUGUGGGAACAAAAUGCAUGCAGUGGAACUGCAGUGCCAUUUUUUGGAAGACUAUAGAUAUGUUGAAUGCAUUUCCCAGCAUCUGAUCUGCAAGGGAGAAUGGUGAAAUCAGAAAAAGAGAGAAGCAAGCCCACCACAAAUGCACAGAGUGUUUUUACAGAAAUACUGGUGUGACCAAGGUGACUCCAUCCCUUCUCUCUGAUGGCAAUCACAUCACAGAGACCCCCUGGGCAAGCACAGCAGCCUCAUUUGUGAAGAGCUCAGAGAAAAAGCAGAAAACACCAAGCUGUUCAGCCCUGCCAAGGGACAGAGCACCUUAGACCUGCCCAGAGGCAAAUUCUAGGUGCUUGCCAGGCUUCAAGGAGAAAAGCUGCAGUGCCUCCAAAUUCUGGAUUUAUUUUGACCAGCAGUUGCACAGGCAUUUUGAGAAGCCACAUUUUGGACAUGGGUGUCUCCUCGGGGAGGGGGAACGGCGGGUCGGGGCGGGUCCGGCCCCGGCGCUCCCGCAGCGCGGUGCGUGCAGGGCGCGGGUCCUGCCCCGCACCCUGCCAAAGGCAACAGCCCUACCCUGCUCCGCAGCCCACGCAGGGAUCCCUCAUCCCGUUCCUGGACGGGGAGAAAUCGCCCCUCAGCGGGAAAAGCGACGGGAACCCCCGGGCGCGCUUCAUCUCCCUCCGGCUGAUGCUCGCCCCGGGACCGCCUCGGAGGUGCAUGACCCUCGCCGUGCUGUUUGAUCCGUUCUCCCUCUCCACCUUCUCAGGAAUUAUCUAUUUUUUUUUCUUUCCUAAACAAAUUUAGAAGGAAGAGAUUAGACAGGGGAGGGACAGGCUGGCUGCGAGCCUGCAGCCGGCGCUGGAAGGGAACCACAAGCCUUUCUCGGGCGGUGUUUGCUCGGGUUCCUUUAGCAAGCGCGGCACAAUGGCAACUAUUCAGGAAUCAGUCAAUAUGACCUGGCACUAACAAGCCCUAAAAACAUAUAUGCCUCAUUCUCACAGAGCCUAGGAAUCAUGUUUUUAAGCGGGAUUUACUUUACUUUGUCAACAGAACAGGUAAUGUGGGAAGUCUCUAUUGGAGAGUAAAAGCUUUUUCCGUUCCCUCUUCCAAAAGAGACAUUUGGACCAUAAAAUCGCCUUUCCUGGCCAGCUGAAGAGGUCCCACCACAGGUGGUCCUGAGUGACGGGAUUUCCUUCGAGCAAAAUUAAGCUGGAAAGGAGAAAUGCCCUGAGAAACCCAUCCGGCCUCCCCCGGGGGGGAUUUCCCAAGGGGUGAGCGGGACAAGCUCACAUGGGUGGCGGGAGGGUGGGCAGGGAGAGGGGCCCCGGCCACGAAAGGGUUACGAGCCCGGAGAGUGGAGCUGUUUGUCACCGGCACCCACUAGGAAAAAAAAAAAAAAAAAUAAAAAGAAUUACUGAUUAACGUGAUCUGUCAAUACGCCUUUGCCCCGCGGGACCGGAGCCGAUCUAUUACCUGGCACCUCCUUUGCCAUCUCCCUCACCUUGGUGAGCCCCUGCAUCCCUCCCCUGGCCCUGAGUCAUGGGUAAACACCGCCGGGUGCCAGGCUGUGCCCGGGGUACCCGCCCGGGGCCGGCGCCUCCCGGCCCCAGCGUGAGGGUUUAGGGGCUCCUGCGGGACAAGAGUGCAGCCUUCAGAGAGUAAAUGAGUGAGUUCCCCAUCAUUCCAAAGGGCACAGACAGGGAAGAGGAAAAAAAGUCACAGGCACGAAGAGACGGCUGGGGGGCGAGGACCUGACCCGGAGCGCAUCCCUGACCCGGCUGGAGGAAGCGGGGGGGGGAAUAAAUGUAAUAAUUCUUUUUGAAAAACAGUUGGAAAACGUUGCUUUUCGCAGUAAAGCGUGGCUGCACGCAGGAUAAACACGGGAGGGAAAAAGUAAUACCUUAAAUAAACCUGCCCUAGAUGGGGCGCAGUCCAGACCCGCAUCCCGCACCUCUCCUGGGGACGCCCCGCUCUGGCACCGCCGCUGCCCGGGAAGGGACCAGCAGCCCCGCUGCGGGGAACAGCCACCAGGAUCCAGAUCUCCCCGCGCAAAUUAAUUCAUCACAGAGCUUGUUAAACAAUUUGCAGGGCGAGCAUGUUGUGGACUGGGAGGGGGGGGGGGGGUUGUUCGAGGGGUUUUUUGGAGGGGGAGUCGGUGGAGGGUGUUUUGGUUUUACCUCCUCUCUGGGGCCAAACAGCAGCUGGCAGCCAAAAGACUUUCUGAACUGUUUCAUUUGGGGAAAGUGAGGAGAAAAGUGACGUCUGACUCUCUCCGCAUUUUAAAUAUGCUUGAAUAUAAUUGACUGACUGCCGCUAUGGAUCAUUUGACGUGGAUGAUGGUGGGUGCCCUGAAAGUCCCUGAAAAUGCUCAUUUGCAGGAAGAACCUGUUAAAAAUGAAGGGCUUGGAUCAAAUGUAGGGGCUAAAGGCAUUUGCUUGUGCCACCGUUCGCAUCACGAUUGUGCAAGCGCUCCUCCACCUCUCUCCAUACAUACAUCAAAUUUUUAGUUCAGAAAAGCCUAGUAGCUGUUCGGUAUUGGCUCAUAGAAACCCCUCACUGUAUUUCCCGAAAACCUCCUCUGUGCUGUAGGACCUGCUGUGUUAAAUUAUGAUCCAAAGGCUGUGGGGUGGGAACAAUCAAUCAGAAUACCUGGGGUAGUGUGUAAUGUGUGUGCUCUUGCCAGCGGGAGCAAGCGGCCCCUGAACACAGUCCCCCAGCAGGUUAAAUAAAUAUGAUACUAUAGACAAACCGAGAGGAUCACAUGGCCGCAUCAAUCAGCUGUUGAUAAAAUACAAUCUUCCUUUAAUACACGCUGGGAAAGUUAUUUAACACUUACAAAACCUGAAUUCAGUGCUGUUUCUUUUAGUAAAAGGGGAGAAAAAUAUUCUUUGAAAGUGCAACUCUUCUUAAAAGGCAAGGAAAGGCGACAGUUGCAUUUUCCUGGGGGAUAUAAUAGAAAGCUUUUAAUGAAGCCACAGACACUGUACAAAGUACCUGAGCCACGAUGCUGGAAAAAUACAGAAGCUGUUAAAAGAACAAGUCAAUGUAGAAGUGGCCGGAGCCGAUUCCUGGCUGCGCAUUAGGGUUUAUUUCCUUUCCAUUCAUGAUUUCACAACCCGGGUGGCUAAAAGGCUCCCGAACUGUUUCUUCUUGGCAUGCAAUUAGGGACGAGCCCCUCCAAGGAGGAAACGACCGGGGGUUCUUCCCUACCAGCUCAGCAUCUAUCGCAGCUGCCGGACAGUUGGAGCGGCUGGAAAAGCAGGAGAGACAAGGAUGCUCAGAUUAUAUUUUUUUAAUAGUUUGUCGAAGAAAUAAUAAAAUAUUAGAAUUUCCUAAAAGAAAUCAGUUCUCCCGGGUGUUUUUUUGAAAUAAAAGUUGUUGGUAAGGUC
This is a long non-coding RNA of Pseudopipra pipra, 3604 nucleotides long. RefSeq lists it as uncharacterized. NCBI's taxonomy places the organism in Eukaryota, Metazoa, Chordata, Aves, Passeriformes, Pipridae. The transcript is spliced from 4 exons. The record is from RefSeq and is a predicted model, not a curated record.